GACGAACGCUGGCGGCGUGCUUAACACAUGCAAGUCGAACGAAGUGGCGAACGGGUGAGUAACGCGUCAUCAACCUGCCCUUCAGAGGGGGACAACAGUUGGAAACGACUGCUAAUACCGCCUACUGAAGGAGGGGAUUGCGUCUGAUUAGCUCGUUGGAGGGGUAACGGCCCCCCAAGGCGGUGUUCAGUAGCCGGCAGAGGAGUAGGAAGGGCAACAUGGGGACGGGGACACGGCCCAAACUCUAACGGGAGGAAGCGGGAGGAAUUCUUCGGCAAGGGACAAAGGUCUGACCGGGCAACGCCGCGUGAGUGAAGAGGGUUUUCGGAUCGUAAAACUCGGUUGUUAGAGAAGCGGUAGCGAACCAGAAAGCCACGGCUAACUACGUGCCAGCAGCCGCGGUAAUAC
This 408-nucleotide ribosomal RNA is filed under the name uncultured bacterium. RNAcentral's name for it is "partial 16S ribosomal RNA". It matches the Rfam family "Bacterial small subunit ribosomal RNA", at positions 28 to 526 of the family's 1533-position model. The record is from RNAcentral.